UAGCAUAUCAAUAAGCGGAGGAAAAGAAACCAACAGGGAUUGCCUCAGUAACGGCGAGUGAAGCGGCAACAGCUCAAAUUUUAAAGCUGGCGUCUUUGGCGCCCGCGUUGUAAUUUGGAGAGGCAUCUUCGGUUUGGGCGCCAGCCUAUGUUCCUUGGAACAGGACGUCACAGAGGGUGAGAAUCCCGUGCCUGGCUGGCUGUCCCUUUCCAUGUGAAGUGCCUUCGACGAGUCGAGUUGUUUGGGAAUGCAGCUCAAAAUGGGUGGUAAAUUUCAUCUAAAGCUAAAUAUUGGCGGGAGACCGAUAGCGCACAAGUAGAGUGAUCGAAAGAUGAAAAGCACUUUGAAAAUAGAGUUAAAAAGUACGUGAAAUUGUUGAAAGGGAAGCGCUUGAGACCAGACUCGGCCGGAGAUGAUCAGCCGUCCUUCUGGGCGGUGCACUCGUUUCCGGCCGGGCCAGCAUCGGUUGAGACGGCGGGAUAAAGGCCCGGGGAAUGUGGCUCCUUUCGGGGAGUGUUAUAGCCCCGGGCGCAAUGCCGCCAGCCUCGACCGAGGACCGCGCUUAAUUGCUAGGAUGCUGGCGUAAUGGUCUUCAGCGACCCGUCUUGAAACACGGACCAAGGAGUCUAACAUCUAUGCGAGUGUUUGGGUGUCAAACCCUUGCGCGUAAUGAAAGUGAACGGAGGUGGGAACCCCUCGCGGGGCGCACCAUCGACCGGUCCUGAUGUCUUCGGAUGGAUCUGAGUAGGAGCAUAGCUGUUGGGACCCGAAAGAUGGUGAACUAUGCCUGAAUAGGGUGAAGCCAGAGGAAACUCUGGUGGAGGCUCGCAGCGGUUCUGACGUGCAAAUCGAUCGUCAAAUUUGGGUAUAGGGGCGAAAGACUAAUCGAACCAUCUAGUAGCUGGUC
RNAcentral lists this ribosomal RNA (907 nucleotides) under Gyromitra antarctica. RNAcentral describes it as "partial large subunit ribosomal RNA". It matches the Rfam family "Eukaryotic large subunit ribosomal RNA", at positions 36 to 956 of the family's 3401-position model. The record is from RNAcentral. Lineage: Eukaryota; Fungi; Ascomycota; Pezizomycetes; Pezizales; Discinaceae.